UUGUAGCCUGCUAUGGUAUAACUUAGUGGCAGACGGGUGAGUAAUAUAUAGGAAUCUACCUAGUAGUACGGAAUAAUUGUUGGAAACGGCAACUAAUACCGUAUACGCCCUACGGGGGAAAAAUUUAUUGCUAUUAGAUGAGCCUAUAUUAGAUUAGCUAGUUGGUGGAGUAAUAGCCUACCAAGGCAAUGAUCUAUAGCUGAUCUGAGAGGAUGAUCAGCCACACUGGAACUGAGAUACGGUCCAGACUUCUACGGGAGGCAGCAGUGGGGAAUAUUGGACAAUGGGCGAAAGCCUGAUCCAGCCAUGUCGCAUGAGUGAAGAAGGCCCUUGGGUUGUAAAGCUCUUUUAGUGAGGAAGAUAAUGACGGUACUCACAGAAGAAGUCCUGGCUAACUCCGUGCCAGCAGCCGCGGUAAUACGGAGAGGGCUAGCGUUAUUCGGAAUUGUUGGGCGUAAAGGGCGCGUAGGCUGAUUAAUAAGUUAAAAGUGAAAUCCCGAGGCUUAACCUUGGAAUUGCUUUUAAAACUAUUAAUCUAGAGAUUGAAAGAGGAUAGAGGAAUUCCUGAUGUAGAGGUAAAAUUCGUAAAUAUUAGGAGGAACACCAGUGGCGAAGGCGUCUAUCUGGUUCAAAUCUGACGCUGAGGCGCGAAGGCGUGGGGAGCAAACAGGAUUAGAUACCCUGGUAGUCCACGCUGUAAACGAUGAAUGUUAAAUAUGGGAAGUUUACUUUCUGUAUUAUAGCUAACGCGUUAAACAUUCCGCCUGGGGACUACGGUCGCAAGAUUAAAACUCAAAGGAAUUGACGGGGACCCGCACAAGCGGUGGAGCAUGUGGUUUAAUUCGAUGCAACGCGAAAAACCUUACCACUUCUUGACAUGAAAAUCAUACCUAUUC
Molecule: ribosomal RNA, 896 nt
Filed under: Wolbachia endosymbiont of Diaphorina citri
Lineage: Bacteria; Pseudomonadati; Pseudomonadota; Alphaproteobacteria; Rickettsiales; Anaplasmataceae
Description: bacterial SSU rRNA
Rfam family: Bacterial small subunit ribosomal RNA
Source: RNAcentral